GCAUAACACGGUCCUCUUUUGUCGCACGGAUUUUCCUCCCAUAAGCGCAUAUUCAGAUGUGUACGGAUACGACUGCUUCCUUCUGUUCAUGUGAUUCAUUGUCGCUGUGUUACUGUAUGCAGAUCUCACUCAGCUCUGCUCUCCGAGCAUGCUGCUUCCAACACGACUUCCCGAAAGAAAAUGUGCUCGCGCAUUAGAGGGAGGUGAAAGAUGCACCUGCAGGAGAAUACAUGCUUAAGAGAAGGCAGAAACAUGCCCGGAUCCACCAGAACUAGUGCUGGCAAGUCAACAGAGGCGAGUACUGAUAAUGUUCCAGAUUGUGGUAGGAUCACAUAAGCAAAAUUGACACUGGGAGGCACGGCGGUGGGUCAGCUCAUGGCCAGCGCCAGCUCCAGUGGAUAUCACGUGCAUCCAGUUCUAGUACUAUAGUAUGACUGCUACAAAGUAGUGUGGCCCAAAUAGAACUCGGGUCAGGUGCCGAAGAACUGGGGGGUGGGGGCAUGUAUCAAUGAAUGGUAAUAACUCCGGAAAUCAUGCUGGUGUAUCGAGGGCGUGGGCCAAUGAAGUGCUGGAUUGAUGGUGGACGACUGUACUGCAAUCUUGGCUGGUCCCACUAUCGCAGAGACAGCACUUCCUGGUGCAACCACCCUAUCCUGCAAUCUAUAUAAUAAUUAUUAUAAGAGAUUUGUGUGAACGAUUUUAGCAUGAUGCAAGUCAACUUAUUGUGCUGGGGGCCUGGCUACAUGUCACUAUAGCUUUUUAUAGACUCGAUCACCGCAUUACGCUGCCUUGCGUUGACUUGAUUGAGCACUCUUUUUGGUUAGUGUCAAAGGUAUAUGUAAUAUGUAUCUGCCUUCGUGCAAAGCUCUCUUUGUGCGUGUCUUGCAGAUAGCUCGCUGACUUUGAUGCUUUGAGCCAUUUUCAAAUUGCUUUUUUUGUUCAUUUCAUAUAGACCGUAUUGCCAUUUGUUUAACCUCC
Long non-coding RNA from Sycon ciliatum, 978 nucleotides. RefSeq lists it as uncharacterized. The transcript has 2 exons. The record is from RefSeq and is a predicted model, not a curated record. NCBI's taxonomy places the organism in Eukaryota, Metazoa, Porifera, Calcarea, Leucosolenida, Sycettidae.